ACACAUGCCAAGUCGAGCGGUAGCACAGAGAGCUUGCUCUCGGGUGACGAGCGGCGGACGGGUGAGUAAUGUCUGGGAAACUGCCUGAUGGAGGGGGAUAACUACUGGAAACGGUAGCUAAUACCGCAUAACGUCGCAAGACCAAAGUGGGGGACCUUCGGGCCUCAUGCCAUCAGAUGUGCCCAGAUGGGAUUAGCUAGUAGGUGGGGUAACGGCUCACCUAGGCGACGAUCCCUAGCUGGUCUGAGAGGAUGACCAGCCACACUGGAACUGAGACACGGUCCAGACUCCUACGGGAGGCAGCAGUGGGGAAUAUUGCACAAUGGGCGCAAGCCUGAUGCAGCCAUGCCGCGUGUAUGAAGAAGGCCUUCGGGUUGUAAAGUACUUUCAGCGAGGAGGAAGGCAUUAAGGUUAAUAACCUUGGCGAUUGACGUUACUCGCAGAAGAAGCACCGGCUAACUCCGUGCCAGCAGCCGCGGUAAUACGGAGGGUGCAAGCGUUAAUCGGAAUUACUGGGCGUAAAGCGCACGCAGGCGGUCUGUCAAGUCGGAUGUGAAAUCCCCGGGCUCAACCCUGGGAACUGCAUUCGAAACUGGCAGGCUAGAGUCUUGUAGAGGGGGGUAGAAUUCCAGGUGUAGCGGUGAAAUGCGUAGAGAUCUGGAGGGAAUACCCGGUGGCGAAGGCGGCCCCCUGGACAAAGACUGACGCUCAGGUGCGAAAAGCGUGGGGAGCAAACAGGAUUAGAUACCCUGGUAGUCCACGCCGUAAACGAUGUCGACUUGGAGGUUGUGCCCUUGAGGGCGUGGCUUCCGGAGCUAACGCGUUAAGUCGACCGCCUGGGGAGUACGGCCGCAAGGUUAAAACUCAAAUGAAUUGACGGGGGCCCGCACAAGCGGUGGAGCAUGUGGUUUAAUUCGAUGCAACGCGAAGAACCUUACCUACUCUUGACAUCCAGAGAACUUAGCAGAGAUGCUUUGGUGCCUUCGGGAACUGUGAGACAGGUGCUGCAUGGCUGUCGUCAGCUCGUGUUGUGAAAUGUUGGGUUAAGUCCCGCAACGAGCGCAACCCUUAUCCUUUGUUGCCAGCGGUCCGGCCGGGAACUCAAAGGAGACUGCCAGUGAUAAACUGGAGGAAGGUGGGGAUGACGUCAAGUCAUCAUGGCCCUUACGAGUAGGGCUACACACGUGCUACAAUGGCAUAUACAAAGAGAAGCGACCUCGCGAGAGCAAGCGGACCUCAUAAAGUAUGUCGUAGUCCGGAUUGGAGUCUGCAACUCGACUCCAUGAAGUCGGAAUCGCUAGUAAUCGUAGAUCAGAAUGCUACGGUGAAUACGUUCCCGGGCCUUGUACACACCGCCCGUCACACCAUGGGAGUGGGUUGCAAAAGAAGUAGGUAGCUUAACCUUCGGGAGGGCGCUUACCACUUUGUGAUUCAUGACUGGGGGAAGUCG
This 1450-nucleotide ribosomal RNA is filed under the name Klebsiella aerogenes. Its description in RNAcentral is "bacterial SSU rRNA". It matches the Rfam family "Bacterial small subunit ribosomal RNA". Lineage: Bacteria; Pseudomonadati; Pseudomonadota; Gammaproteobacteria; Enterobacterales; Enterobacteriaceae. The record is from RNAcentral.